UCAAGUUGUAUAGCUUUCAAAAGUCUUAUGGAAUGAGCUAGAUGGGAUCUAAAUAAAUAAAAAGCAAAAUUAGUAUGUGCUCUUAUACAUUAAAAUCUUGAUGUUGUACUCCUUCCUUGUACCUUAAUGUGUUGUUCAUUUCAUAAUUAGAAAUAGUUUACAAGGGCAUUUCAUAGAAUCUCACAAUAUAUCGAAAAUUGUACGUUCCUCUUUCAUGCCCUUAUAAAGUUCAUUAUUAAUAAUAUGAACUCUAAACUGAUUUUAUUUUUCAUAAACAUUUCAUUUCAUUUUCUUAUAUUAUUAUUUUGGAAAUAAUGUCCUUGUGUCCAAUUUAUCAUGCUAAUGGAUUACUUUAGUACUUGACAAUGCGUGACUUAUAUGUGACUAUUAUGCAUGACCAAUGCAUAUGCGACUCAGUGAUUGACAACUUGGACACAAGAAUUAAGUUCCAAAAUAACAUAAUUCAUAAGAAAAUUCAAAUUUCAAAAUGCCCCUCUAAAAUAUCAUCAAAUUCUUUUUACCUUUAUGAAACUCAUUUAUUAUAAUAUACUCAAACU
RNAcentral lists this long non-coding RNA (557 nucleotides) under Ricinus communis (castor bean). RNAcentral's name for it is "long non-coding RNA (RCOM_LNC002719)". The record is from RNAcentral. Lineage: Eukaryota; Viridiplantae; Streptophyta; Magnoliopsida; Malpighiales; Euphorbiaceae.